GACGAACGCUGGCGGCGUGCUUAACACAUGCAAGUCGAACGUGAUUUUUGUGGAAAUUCUUUCGGGAAUGGAAAUGAAAUGAAAGUGGCGAACGGGUGAGUAACACGUGAGCAACCUACCUUACACAGGGGGAUAGCCGUUGGAAACGACGAUUAAUACCGCAUGAGACCACAGAAUCGCAUGAUAUAGGGGUCAAAGAUUUAUCGGUGUAAGAAGGGCUCGCGUCUGAUUAGCUAGUUGGAAGGGUAAAGGCCUACCAAGGCGACGAUCAGUAGCCGGUCUGAGAGGAUGAACGGCCACAUUGGAACUGAGACACGGUCCAAACUCCUACGGGAGGCAGCAGUGGGGAAUAUUGCACAAUGGGGGGAACCCUGAUGCAGCGACGCCGCGUGAGCGAAGAAGGUUUUCGAAUCGUAAAGCUCUGUCCUACGAGAAGAUAAUGACGGUAUCAUAGGAGGAAGCCCCGGCUAAAUACGUGCCAGCAGCCGCGGUAAUACGUAUGGGGCGAGCGUUGUCCGGAAUUAUUGGGCGUAAAGGGUACGUAGGCGGUUUUUUAAGUCAGGUGUGAAAGCGUGAGGCUUAACCUCAUUAAGCACUUGAAACUGGAAGACUUGAGUGAAGGAGAGGAAAGUGGAAUUCCUAGUGUAGCGGUGAAAUGCGUAGAUAUUAGGAGGAAUACCGGUGGCGGAGGCGACUUUCUGGACUUUUACUGACGCUCAGGUACGAAAGCGUGGGGAGCAAACAGG
RNAcentral lists this ribosomal RNA (746 nucleotides) under uncultured Parvimonas sp. RNAcentral's name for it is "bacterial SSU rRNA". It matches the Rfam family "Bacterial small subunit ribosomal RNA", at positions 28 to 776 of the family's 1533-position model. The record is from RNAcentral. Lineage: Bacteria; Bacillati; Bacillota; Tissierellia; Tissierellales; Peptoniphilaceae.